RNAcentral lists this ribosomal RNA (465 nucleotides) under Vreelandella stevensii. RNAcentral's name for it is "partial 16S ribosomal RNA". It matches the Rfam family "Bacterial small subunit ribosomal RNA", at positions 338 to 795 of the family's 1533-position model. The record is from RNAcentral. Lineage: Bacteria; Pseudomonadati; Pseudomonadota; Gammaproteobacteria; Oceanospirillales; Halomonadaceae.
CCUACGGGGGGCUGCAGUGGGGAAUAUUGGACAAUGGGGGGAACCCUGAUCCAGCCAUGCCGCGUGUGUGAAGAAGGCCCUCGGGUUGUAAAGCACUUUCAGUGAGGAAGAACGCCUGGUGGUUAAUACCCAUCAGGAAAGACAUCACUCACAGAAGAAGCACCGGCUAACUCCGUGCCAGCAGCCGCGGUAAUACGGAGGGUGCGAGCGUUAAUCGGAAUUACUGGGCGUAAAGCGCGCGUAGGUGGCUUGAUAAGCCGGUUGCGAAAGCCCCGGGCUCAACCUGGGAACGGCAUCCGGAACUGUCAAGCUAGAGUGCAGGAGAGGAAGGUAGAAUUCCCGGUGUAGCGGUGAAAUGCGUAGAGAUCGGGAGGAAUACCAGUGGCGAAGGCGGCCUUCUGGACUGACACUGACACUGAGGUGCGAAAGCGUGGGUAGCAAACAGGAUUAGAUACCCUGGUAGUC